CGCGGGGUGGAGCAAUGGGUAGCUCGCCAGGCUCAUAACCUGGAGGUUGCAGGUUCAAGUCCUGCCCCCGCUA
RNAcentral lists this transfer RNA (73 nucleotides) under Bacteroidota bacterium. RNAcentral describes it as "tRNA-Met". It matches the Rfam family "tRNA". Rfam says of the family: Transfer RNA (tRNA) molecules are approximately 80 nucleotides in length. Their secondary structure includes four short double-helical elements and three loops (D, anti-codon, and T loops). Further hydrogen bonds mediate the characteristic L-shaped molecular structure. tRNAs have two regions of fundamental functional importance: the anti-codon, which is responsible for specific mRNA codon recognition, and the 3' end, to which the tRNAs corresponding amino acid is attached (by aminoacyl-tRNA synthetases). tRNAs cope with the degeneracy of the genetic code in two manners: having more than one tRNA (with a specific anti-codon) for a particular amino acid; and 'wobble' base-pairing, i.e. permitting non-standard base-pairing at the 3rd anti-codon position. Lineage: Bacteria; Pseudomonadati; Bacteroidota. The record is from RNAcentral. RNAcentral also lists the same sequence under 3 other names.